GACGAACGCUGGCGGCGUGCUUAACACAUGCAAGUCGAGCGGUAAGGCCCUUUCGGGGUACGACGAGCGGCGAACGGGUGAGUAACACGUGGGUGACCUGCCCUCCAGCUCUGGGAGUAAGCCUGGGAAACCGGGUCUAAUACCGGAUAUGACUCCAUGACGCAUGUUGUGGGGUGGAAAGCCUUGUGCGGCUGAGGAUGGGCCCGCGGCCUAUCAGCUUGUUGGUGGGGUGAUGGCCUACCAAGGCGACGACGGGUAGCCGGCCUGAGAGGGCGACCGGCCACACUGGGACUGAGACA
This 299-nucleotide ribosomal RNA is filed under the name uncultured bacterium. RNAcentral's name for it is "partial 16S ribosomal RNA". It matches the Rfam family "Bacterial small subunit ribosomal RNA", at positions 28 to 326 of the family's 1533-position model. The record is from RNAcentral.